ACAUAUCCCAAGGACAUUUCCUCGUCAAGUCCUUGAACCUCUCCCAAGCCUCAUAAAGUGUUUCACCAUCUUAUUGUCUGAAAAUUUGCACCUCAGUUCUCAAUCU
Molecule: small nucleolar RNA, 106 nt
Organism: Arachis stenosperma
Lineage: Eukaryota; Viridiplantae; Streptophyta; Magnoliopsida; Fabales; Fabaceae
Source: RefSeq, a predicted model, not a curated record